ACGACCUUGCUUGAACAGGAUUUGUUCUAUAGGCUCGUACCUAUGUAUUCUUGAUUCCUAAGAAGACAGAAACCCAUGUUUAGUUGAUGAACGAGGACCAGUUAACCAUAGCGUGAUUAACAGAGCUCAUGGUCUUGACCAUGGCGCAUUGGUGCCAGUGGCGGACCCAGGAAUUAUUUGUUGGGGGUGCGGAUGAGUU
Molecule: small nucleolar RNA, 199 nt
Filed under: Helianthus annuus (common sunflower)
Lineage: Eukaryota; Viridiplantae; Streptophyta; Magnoliopsida; Asterales; Asteraceae
Description: sRNA HanXRQr2_Chr03g0129961
Rfam family: Plant small nucleolar RNA U3
About the family: Small nucleolar RNAs (snoRNAs) are involved in the processing and modification of rRNA in the nucleolus. There are two main classes of snoRNAs: the box C/D class, and the box H/ACA class.
Source: Rfam by way of RNAcentral